RNAcentral lists this long non-coding RNA (681 nucleotides) under Ananas comosus (pineapple). RNAcentral's name for it is "long non-coding RNA (ACOM_LNC037950)". Lineage: Eukaryota; Viridiplantae; Streptophyta; Magnoliopsida; Poales; Bromeliaceae. The record is from RNAcentral.
UGUGAAUUUAAUGGAGUUUGCAAAUAAGGAUAUAUUUGAAAGAAUCUAUAUAUUUAGAGGGGUAAUUAUGAUAUUACUGAUUUUGUAAGGGUAUUACGAUAUUAUCAAUCUUUUGAAGGGUACAAGUGAAAUUAACCCUAUUUAUAAAUAUAAUUUCCAGUUGCAUCUAAUAAGAUAAAUUAUUUAUAAUUACAGUGUUUUUUACUGCAUCAAACUAAAUAAGAUACAUAUAGUUAUAACUAGUAUACUUUUAGGGCAUGUUUGGUUCACCUAUUUUGGACUAUGGAAUCAGAAUGGAAUUUGUUUAUUACGAUAGUUGCCGUUUGUUUUAUAGAAAUUGGAUUCCGAUUUCCAUUCUACUCCGGAAUGGGAAUAAUCAAAUCCAUUUAUCAUUCAAUCCGGCUUUGAAUCCCAGAUUGGCUCAUUCCAAAGUAAACUAUUCAAAAUCCUCUUUUAUCAACAGCUAUCUCCUCUCCUUUCAUCACUUUUCUCUUUCUUAAUCAAAACUUUCUCUCAAAAAUUUUAAAUUUUCAUUUCGAUUUCCAUUCCAAUAAUGAACCAAACAUUUUUGGAUGAUUCGUCAUUCUAUUUUUCAUUCCUAAGCAAUCCAAUUCCAUUUUCUAUUCCUAUUCCAAUCAUGAACCACACAUACCCUUAGUUGCAUGAUUUUUUUUUUUACAC